GGCACCUACGGGACGCAGCAGUAGGGAAUCUUCGGCAAUGGACGAAAGUCUGACCGAGCAACGCCGCGUGAGUGAAGAAGGUUUUCGGAUCGUAAAACUCUGUUGGUAGAGAAGAACGUUGGUGAGAGUGGAAAGCUCAUCAAGUGACGGUAACUACCCAGAAAGGGACGGCUAACUACGUGCCAGCAGCCGCGGUAAUACGUAGGUCCCGAGCGCUGUCCGGAUUUAUUGGGCGUAAAGCGAGCGCAGGUGGUUUCUUAAGUCUGGUGUAAAAGGCAGUGGCUCAACCGUUGUGUGCCUUGGAA
This 305-nucleotide ribosomal RNA is filed under the name uncultured bacterium. Its description in RNAcentral is "bacterial SSU rRNA". It matches the Rfam family "Bacterial small subunit ribosomal RNA", at positions 334 to 631 of the family's 1533-position model. The record is from RNAcentral.